UACGUAGGGUGCAAGCGUUGUCCGGAAUUACUGGGCGUAAAGUGUGCGCAGGUGGCCGCGCAAGUCGAGUGUGAAAUCCCCGAGCUUAACUUGGGAAUUGCGCUCGAAACUACGUGGCUCGAGUGUGGCAGAGGAAGGUGGAAUUCCACGUGUAGCGGUGAAAUGCGUAGAGAUGUGGAGGAACACCGAUGGCGAAGGCAGCCUUCUGGGCCAACACUGACGCUCAUGCACGAAAGCGUGGGGAGCAAACAGG
Molecule: ribosomal RNA, 253 nt
Filed under: uncultured bacterium
Lineage: Bacteria
Description: partial 16S ribosomal RNA
Rfam family: Bacterial small subunit ribosomal RNA
Source: RNAcentral